GCCUCGAUGGUGAAAUUGGUAGACACAUCGCACUUAAAAUGCGCCGCCGCAAGGUGUGCCGGUUCGACUCCGGCUCGAGGCACCA
This 85-nucleotide transfer RNA is filed under the name Pseudomonas putida BIRD-1. Its description in RNAcentral is "tRNA-Leu (TAA) (tRNA-Leu-TAA-1-1)". It matches the Rfam family "tRNA". Rfam says of the family: Transfer RNA (tRNA) molecules are approximately 80 nucleotides in length. The record is from RNAcentral. Lineage: Bacteria; Pseudomonadati; Pseudomonadota; Gammaproteobacteria; Pseudomonadales; Pseudomonadaceae.